GUCCCUGUAAGCGCAAUGGAUAGCGCGUUGGACUUCUAAUCCAAAGGUAGUCGAUUCGAAUCCCACCUGGGAUG
RNAcentral lists this transfer RNA (74 nucleotides) under Trichonephila inaurata madagascariensis. It matches the Rfam family "tRNA". From Rfam's summary of the family: Transfer RNA (tRNA) molecules are approximately 80 nucleotides in length. Their secondary structure includes four short double-helical elements and three loops (D, anti-codon, and T loops). Lineage: Eukaryota; Metazoa; Arthropoda; Arachnida; Araneae; Nephilidae. The record is from Rfam by way of RNAcentral.